CCAAUAGCGUAUAUUAAAGUUGUUGCAGUUAAAAAGCUCGUAGUUGAACUUCGAGACCGGUGGGUUGGUCGUGCCUCAGGUACGUAUUGGCUUUACCGGUUUCUCUCUUCUGAUGAACUAUGAUGCCAUUAAGUUGGUGUUGUAGGGAAUCAGGACUGUUACUGUGAACAAAUUAGAGUGUUUAAAGCAGGCUAAUGCCUGAAUAGGUUAGCAUGGAAUAACAAAAUAGGACGUUCGAACCUAUUUUGUUGGUUUCUAGGAUCGACGUAAUGAUUAAUAGGGAUAGUUGGGGGCAUUAGUAUUCAAUUGUCAGAGGUGAAAUUCUUGAAUUUAUUGAAGACUAACUACUGCGAAAGCAUUUGCCAAGGAUGUUUUCAUUAAUCAAGAACGAAAGUUAGGGGAUCGAAGACGAUCAGAUACCGUCGUAGUCUUAACCAUAAACUAUGCCGACUAGGGAUCGGAUGAUGUUAAUUUUUUAAUGACUCAUUCGGCGCCUUACG
This 500-nucleotide ribosomal RNA is filed under the name uncultured Glomeromycotina. RNAcentral describes it as "partial small subunit ribosomal RNA". It matches the Rfam family "Eukaryotic small subunit ribosomal RNA", at positions 591 to 1092 of the family's 1831-position model. The record is from RNAcentral. Lineage: Eukaryota; Fungi; Glomeromycota.